This 460-nucleotide ribosomal RNA is filed under the name uncultured bacterium. RNAcentral's name for it is "partial 16S ribosomal RNA". It matches the Rfam family "Bacterial small subunit ribosomal RNA", at positions 338 to 795 of the family's 1533-position model. The record is from RNAcentral.
CCUACGGGUGGCAGCAGUGAGGAAUAUUGGUCAAUGGGCGAGAGCCUGAACCAGCCCAGUCGCGUGAAGGAUGACGGCCCUACGGGUUGUAAACUUCUUUUGUCAGGGAGCAAUUGGGUCCACGCGUGGGCUUAGCGAGAGUACCUGAAGAAAAAGCCUCGGCUAACUCCGUGCCAGCAGCCGCGGUCAUACGGAGGAUGCGAGCGUGAUCCGGAUUUAUUGGGUUUAAAGGGUGCGUAGGCGGAAUAUCAAGUCAGCGGUAAAAAUUCGGGGCGAAACCCCGGCGGGCCGUUGACACUGGUGUUCUGGAGUGGGCGAGAAGUAUGCGGAAUGCGUGGUGUAGCGGUGAAAUGCAUAGAUAUCACGCAGAACUCCGAUUGCGAAGGCAGCAUACCGGCGCCCAACUGACGCUGAAGCACGAAAGCGUGGGUAUCGAACAGGAUUAGAUACCCUUGUAGUC